CUGGAGAGAGGAAACACUGAAUGACCACUCAAAACCACUGUUUGCAUUGCAUUUAACAUACUGUGCAUGACACUGUGAACCGCACACGUUUGGUGCACUGUCAGCAGUAGCUAAGGAGAGGUGAAGAUUGGGAAGACUGCUUAAAAAAAUUUUAGUCAGCUGAGGUCUUGAACUCUUGUGGAUUUUGGAAACCAACGGAUGUGCCAAUCCCACAGAACUACAUAUUGAAAUAGAACUGUACAGUUUGGGAGCAUUCUCAGCAUGUAAAUUAACAUGAGGACUUCAAACAAAUCUGAAAUUUCCCGCAUUGCAGAGACAACACUGUUGCAGUCUAAAACUCAGAAAAAU
Molecule: long non-coding RNA, 348 nt
Filed under: Calidris pygmaea (Spoon-billed sandpiper)
Lineage: Eukaryota; Metazoa; Chordata; Aves; Charadriiformes; Scolopacidae
Description: lncRNA (ENSCPGG00000017060.1)
Source: RNAcentral